Molecule: ribosomal RNA, 491 nt
Filed under: uncultured bacterium
Lineage: Bacteria
Description: bacterial SSU rRNA
Rfam family: Bacterial small subunit ribosomal RNA
Source: RNAcentral
AUUGAACGCUGGCGGAAUGCUUUACACAUGCAAGUCGAGCGGCAGCGCGGGGCAACCUGGCGGCAAGCGGCGAACGGGUGAGUAAUACAUCGGAACGUGCCCAGACGUGGGGGAUAACUACUCGAAAGAGUGGCUAAUACCGCAUACGAUCUACGGAUGAAAGCGGGGGAUCGCAAGACCUCGCGCGUCUGGAGCGGCUGAUGGCAGAUUAGGUAGUUGGUGGGGUAAAAGGCUUACCAAGCCUGCGAUCUGUAGCUGGUCUGAGAGGACGACCAGCCACACUGGGACUGAGACACGGCCCAGACUCCUACGGGAGGCAGCAGUGGGGAAUUUUGGACAAUGGGCGAAAGCCUGAUCCAGCCAUUCCGCGUGCAGGAUGAAGGCCCUCGGGUCGUAAACUGCUUUGUACGGAACGAAAAAGCUCCGGCUAAUACCUGGAGUCCAUGACGGUACCGUAAGAAUAAGCACCGGCUAACUACGUGCCAGCAGCC